CUUUUUGAACGGUCCUUUUGAGGCUUUGCACUCAUCUUCGGGCAUGCCUUCUUUUGGCAAGAAAAGGGUUCAAGAAUCUGAUAAUAGUUCUUGUGAUCGCCGGCAUAAGCGUAUGAUUAAGAACCGAGAAUCAGCAGCUCGAUCGAGAGCUAGAAAACAGGCUUAUACUAGUGAGCUAGAGCAAGAAAUAGCACAUCUACAGGCAG
RNAcentral lists this unclassified non-coding RNA (206 nucleotides) under Hevea brasiliensis (rubber tree). The record is from RNAcentral. Lineage: Eukaryota; Viridiplantae; Streptophyta; Magnoliopsida; Malpighiales; Euphorbiaceae.